This is a long non-coding RNA of Malania oleifera, 603 nucleotides long. RefSeq lists it as uncharacterized. The transcript has 2 exons. The record is from RefSeq and is a predicted model, not a curated record. NCBI's taxonomy places the organism in Eukaryota, Viridiplantae, Streptophyta, Magnoliopsida, Santalales, Ximeniaceae.
CUCCAUACCAAACAACGCCCCUUAUCCUAGUUUGGUGAAAAGAAACCUUACGCUACGUUGCUACUCGAUCACAAUUUCUAUUUCGAUUUUGGUUUCAGUCGCUGACCAAAUGCAAAUGCCUCCCUCUCGGCUGUCUUCAGCAACUCUUCUGAUUGAUGGGUUUUAAAUUUUUCAGAAUUUUCGGGGCCAACUUCUCUGCCCACUUAGAAAUUCCUCUGUUUCGCGAGCUGCGCUAAAGCUCCGCUUUGGUAGCCUCACCUCAAAACCUACAGAAUCCAUCCUUCUCAGAAUCCCAAAGAACCACUUCUAAUGGGUAUCAGAGAAAGCAAUCAAACCAGAAAGUAUACGAAAAGGAUUUAUGUGGAGAGAUUAAAAACAUUGGGAGCAUUGAAUUUGUAUUUUGGAUUUAAAUUUGUGUAUAUUUAAAAGAAAUGUAAUAUAAAAUUGUAUUAACUUUAUUCUCAAUCUGCACAAAUUUAGUUAAGUCCUGAAGUACAUGCUCCCAAAUACUUGAUCAGGUCGAAGGAAAAAAUUUCCUUCGGAUAAGUUGUGAGUAAACAACAAUUCAUUAAACUAUGGGAAUACAUUUGUUUUUGCUCCUCA